CCAAUAGCGUAUAUUAAAGUUGUUGCAGUUAAAAAGCUCGUAGUUGAAUUUCGGGAUUCUACCGUCGGUCGGGCUAACAAGUCUGUACUGGUGUGUAGAAUUUCUACCUUCUGGGGAACUAUCAUGUUAUUAAUUUAGCGUGGUGGGAAACCAGGACCUUUACCUUGAAAAAAUUAGAGUGUUCAAAGCAGGCUUACGUCUGAAUACAUUAGCAUGGAAUAAUAGAAUAGGACGGUGGUCCUGUUUUGUUGGUUUCUGAAUCACCGUAAUGAUUAAUAGGGAUAGUUGGGGGCAUUAGUAUUCAAUUGUCAGAGGUGAAAUUCUUGGAUUUAUUGAAGACUAACUUCUGCGAAAGCAUUUGCCAAGGAUGUUUUCAUUAAUCAAGAACGAAAGUUAGGGGAUCGAAGACGAUCAGAUACCGUCGUAGUCUUAACCAUAAACUAUGCCGACUAGGGAUCGGACGAUGUUAAAUUUUAUUGACUCGUUCGGCGCCUUACG
RNAcentral lists this ribosomal RNA (498 nucleotides) under uncultured Glomeromycotina. RNAcentral's name for it is "partial small subunit ribosomal RNA". It matches the Rfam family "Eukaryotic small subunit ribosomal RNA", at positions 591 to 1092 of the family's 1831-position model. The record is from RNAcentral. Lineage: Eukaryota; Fungi; Glomeromycota.